UACAGAGGUCUCAAGCGUUGUUCGGAUUCAUUGGGCGUAAAGGGUGCGUAGGUGGUCCGUUAAGUCCGUUGUGAAAUCCCUGGGCUCAACCCAGGAAAUGCUUCGGAUACUGGCGGACUUGAGGCUAGUAGGGGUCACUGGAACUGACGGUGGAGCGGUGAAAUGCGUAGAUAUCGUCAGGAACGCCAAUGGUGAAGACAGGUGACUGGGCUAGUUCUGACACUGAGGCACGAAAGCGUGGGGAUCAAACGGG
RNAcentral lists this ribosomal RNA (253 nucleotides) under uncultured bacterium. RNAcentral's name for it is "partial 16S ribosomal RNA". It matches the Rfam family "Bacterial small subunit ribosomal RNA", at positions 524 to 776 of the family's 1533-position model. The record is from RNAcentral.